This 425-nucleotide ribosomal RNA is filed under the name uncultured bacterium. Its description in RNAcentral is "partial 16S ribosomal RNA". It matches the Rfam family "Bacterial small subunit ribosomal RNA", at positions 354 to 796 of the family's 1533-position model. The record is from RNAcentral.
GUGGGGAAUAUUGGACAAUGGGCGAAAGCCUGAUCCAGCAAUGCCGCGUGAGUGAAGAAGGCCUUAGGGUUGUAAAGCUCUUUUACCCGGGAAGAUAAUGACUGUACCGGGAGAAUAAGCCCCGGCUAACUCCGUGCCAGCAGCCGCGGUAAUACGGAGGGGGCUAGCGUUGUUCGGAAUUACUGGGCGUAAAGCGCACGUAGGCGGCUUUGUAAGUUAGAGGUGAAAGCCCAGGGCUCAACCCUGGAACUGCCUUUAAGACUGCAUCGCUUGAACACGGGAGAGGUGAGUGGAAUUCCGAGUGUAGAGGUGAAAUUCGUAGAUAUUCGGAAGAACACCAGUGGCGAAGGCGACUCACUGGACCGUUGUUGACGCUGAGGUGCGAAAGCGUGGGGAGCAAACAGGAUUAGAUACCCCUGUAGUCC